AUUGAACGCUGGCGGCAGGCCUAACACAUGCAAGUCGAACGAGUGGCGGACGGGUGAGCAAUGUCUGGGAAACUGCCUGAUGGAGGGGGAUAACUACUGGAAACGGUAGCUACUACCGCAUACCAUCGGAUGUGCCCAGGUGGGAUUAGCUAGUAGGUGGGGUAAAGGCUCACCUAGGCGACGAUCCCUAGCUGGUCUGCGAGGAUGACCAGCCACACUGGCACUGAGACACGGUCCAGACUCCUACGGGAGGCAGCAGUGGGGAAUAUUUCCCAAUGGGCGCAAGCCUGAUGCAGCAAUGCCGCGUGAAUGAAGAAGGCCUUCGGGUUGUAAAGUACUUUCGGCGGGGAGGCGUUACCCGCAGAAGAAGCACCGGCUAACUCCGUGCCAGCAGCCGCGGUAAUUC
This 406-nucleotide ribosomal RNA is filed under the name uncultured bacterium. Its description in RNAcentral is "partial 16S ribosomal RNA". It matches the Rfam family "Bacterial small subunit ribosomal RNA", at positions 30 to 526 of the family's 1533-position model. The record is from RNAcentral.